GAUGAACGCUAGCGGCAGGCUUAACACAUGCAAGUCGAGGGGUAGAAGGAGCUUGCUCCUUUGAGACCGGCGCACGGGUGCGUAACGCGUAUGCAAUCUACCUUUUGCAGAGGGAUAGCCCAGAGAAAUUUGGAUUAAUACCUCAUAGUAUGUGAGGAUGGCAUCAUUUUCACAUUAAAGUCACAACGGCAAAAGAUGAGCAUGCGUCCCAUUAGCUAGUUGGUAAGGUAACGGCUUACCAAGGCUACGAUGGGUAGGGGUCCUGAGAGGGAGAUCCCCCACACUGGUACUGAGACACGGACCAGACUCCUACGGGAGGCAGCAGUGAGGAAUAUUGGACAAUGGGCGCAAGCCUGAUCCAGCCAUGCCGCGUGCAGGAUGACGGUCCUAUGGAUUGUAAACUGCUUUUGUACAGGAAGAAACACUACUUCGUGAAGUAGCUUGACGGUACUGUAAAGAUAAAGGAUCGGCUAACUCCGU
Molecule: ribosomal RNA, 480 nt
Filed under: uncultured bacterium
Lineage: Bacteria
Description: bacterial SSU rRNA
Rfam family: Bacterial small subunit ribosomal RNA
Source: RNAcentral